AUUACCCUCUUCUUCCUUUCUGACCAAGCCCUACUAUUCGGUUUCCUCCUCUCCACACUUAAAUCAAAUUCAAAGUUCAAAUUGAAAUCCCUGUAAAAUCAGCAAUAAAUCAUUCGCGAAAUCAAUUUAUUACUUCCUUUUUUAUCUCCCAGUUUCUAUCUAUAACAGAGAGGAGUCGAAUCAGUUUUGCUCAUGCAAUUAUACAAGGAAUAUGAUUAGGUUUUCAAAAAUCUCUCUCUUUUAACAAAACUUUACGUUGGUCAUCUUCACCACCACCAUCUUCCCUCCUUCAUCAUUCUUUCAGUGGUUUCUUAUUUUACCUCUCUCGCUCAAGAAUUCUCCUUCGGAAUGAGAUUCGAUUGCGUGUAGAGAAUCUCAUCAGUCUUGCAAUGGCUGGAACAACUCGCCGAUCAAAAGUCAAGGAUAUGAGUGCAGAGGUUGUAGACAGCAACCCUUAUAGCAGGCUCAUGGCACUGCAGUGGAUGGGUAUUGUGGACAAUUACGAAAGAAUAUGGGAUUUUUCAGUUGCCAUAGUUGUUUGUACUGACCCCAUCUUUUCAAUUCAUCAUUCUUUAGACUAAACUACCCUUCCAUUAGAAUCUCAAUAUUUCAUACUUCAUUUGGUUACAUAUUUCAAUAUUGUUCUUUGUACAUGGUACUGGUGGGGUAAGGAGUGUUGCUGCUGAAAUGCUUACAAGAUAUGAAACAGUGGAGUUAGCCAACAUGAAUAGGUUACUUUUCCUCCCUGAACAGGUGUGAAUGUGAUUAUAAUAAUUUAUCAUAACAUUGUUAGGGCCGUAAAGUACUUUUGUAUAUAAGUUGUAACAUGUAUAUUUCUUAGGUUGGUAUGACUAAUACUGAUGCUACUGUCCAAACUUUAUCAGAAAUAAAU
Molecule: long non-coding RNA, 892 nt
Organism: Lactuca sativa (garden lettuce)
Lineage: Eukaryota; Viridiplantae; Streptophyta; Magnoliopsida; Asterales; Asteraceae
Source: RefSeq, a predicted model, not a curated record